RNAcentral lists this transfer RNA (88 nucleotides) under Candidatus Curtissbacteria bacterium RBG_13_40_7. RNAcentral's name for it is "tRNA-Ser". It matches the Rfam family "tRNA". From Rfam's summary of the family: Transfer RNA (tRNA) molecules are approximately 80 nucleotides in length. Their secondary structure includes four short double-helical elements and three loops (D, anti-codon, and T loops). Lineage: Bacteria; Candidatus Curtissiibacteriota. The record is from RNAcentral.
GGAGGCGUCGCAUAGUGGACUAGUGCGGUCGUCUUGAAAACGACUAUCGCGUUUGACGCGAUCGCAGGUUCGAAUCCUGCCGCCUCCG